Molecule: ribosomal RNA, 497 nt
Filed under: uncultured bacterium
Lineage: Bacteria
Description: partial 16S ribosomal RNA
Rfam family: Bacterial small subunit ribosomal RNA
Source: RNAcentral
GAUGAACGCUGGCGGCGUGCCUAAUACAUGCAAGUCGAGCGAACAGACGAGGAGCUUGCUCCUCUGACGUUAGCGGCGGACGGGUGAGUAACACGUGGAUAACCUACCUAUAAGACUGGGAUAACUUCGGGAAACCGGAGCUAAUACCGGAUAAUAUAUUGAACCGCAUGGUUCAAUAGUGAAAGACGGUUUUGCUGUCACUUAUAGAUGGAUCCGCGCCGCAUUAGCUAGUUGGUAAGGUAACGGCUUACCAAGGCAACGAUGCGUAGCCGACCUGAGAGGGUGAUCGGCCACACUGGAGCUGAGACGCGGUCCAGACUCCUACGGGACGCAGCAGUAGGGAAUCUUCCGCAAUGGGCGAAAACCUGACGGAGCAACGCCGCGUGAGUGAUGAAGGUCUUCGGAUCGUAAAGCUCUGUUAUUAGGGAAAAACAAAUGUGUAAGUAACUAUGCACGUCUUGACGGUACCUAAUCAGAAAGCCACGGCUAACUACGUG